CUUUCGCCCCUAACUGAAAAAUAAAUUCUGUUGAAUGCGAUUUGAUUGGUCUUACUGAAGUUAAUUUUGAUCAAUUGCAUUGAAACCAACAAAUUCAACUUAGUAAUUAUUAUUAUUAAUUGCUUUUAGACAUCAUCCAGAUGGAAGAUAUGCUUUGGGGAAUUUAUUUGAUUAUAUGAAUGGCGCAAAUAAAGUGCUCAACCCUAUAGUUCACUGCACGUCAUCUUAAAGAACGCUAUGGAUCUUUUGAAAGGAGCAGAGAUACACACCCGAUAUCUGGCCAUACUUAACUCUAAGGAUAAUCGAAAAUAAGGUUUGGCCAUUCGAAGUAAAAUUGUGAGAGUAACUUCGGCUGCCACGUCAUCGGAGAUUCAGCCUACUCAUUUCACACGUCCGAAGAAACCGAAAUGACAUGAGCGGAGGGUGCUUCAAUUUUUUGUCGUUAAGUAUAUGUUAGUUACGGCAGCCGCCGUAGCCGAAUGGGUUGAUGCGUGACUGAAUCCAGAGAGAACGUAACUUAAAAUCUCGAUGAAACACCAAAACAAAGAAAAAGUUGUUUCUAGUAG
This is a long non-coding RNA of Anastrepha obliqua, 566 nucleotides long. RefSeq lists it as uncharacterized. The transcript has 3 exons. The record is from RefSeq and is a predicted model, not a curated record. Lineage: Eukaryota; Metazoa; Arthropoda; Insecta; Diptera; Tephritidae.